CUCUCCUCUCCUCUCCUCUUUUUUUUCCACUCACAUCCCCAUUGCGAUAAAGAUGAGCAGAAAUUGAAAUCUAAAGAUGUUCAUGGGAUGCUUCACGUUAGCAAAACAGAAAAUUUUCUGUUGUUAAAGAAAAGAACAGAAGUUCAUAAUUGCUAACAAAGAAAGCCAGCAAGAAUCACUGUGGUAAUCUGCCAGCAUCUUGGGAAUGAAGGAGGGCUGCCUAUAGGUGUGUCAUGAGAAAAGCUGCUACUUGAUUGUUUGUCUUUCAAAGGGACUUGCUGGACCUGGCUCCAGGAUUUGUUAACUGGCUGUGUACGUUACCAGCAGCACGGCUGAGCACGGCUGUCCCUCUCUGCCUGUCCCCAGGCCACAGCCCAGUCCUCCGUUGGAGGUGACGGAGAGCCGCAGUCAUUUGACGCCGUGGCUUUGCAUCACUCUAGGCCUCCACUUAUUGAAAAGUAACAAAACUGCUUGCAGGUAAACACAUGAGAUCAUCAACCCUCCCAUUAAUUAGGAGGGAGUGUUCCAAUACUGGCCAUAAUCAUCUCAAGCGGAUACGGAAGACCAGCCUCGUGGUAGGACUUAAUGCAGCAGGGAAGCUCUUAACACCAGGAGAAAUGAGCUGCAAAAGCAGGAAGCCCUGUCGAGCACAGCACUCCAGGAAGAACACAGAGGGUGCCAGCAAACCUGACCGCCUUGGAGUAUGGCGAUUGAGUGCUUUUAUGCGUGUUCAUCCCUGAACCUUUGCUUACAUGAAGAUUCAGAGGGACGUAUAUUUUAUCUGUCUCUAACCUAAAAUUCUCCAGGGUGAUUGUUUAGCUUGUAAAAUAUUUAGAUGCACACACCCACACAUGGCCCAUUUUGUUUUUUGAGUGAGGUUUGUAUAGUUGUAUGCCUAAUUUGUUUGUGCAGCUUCUGUCACUGAAUAUUCAUAUUGUAAAUGGACAUGCAAAUGCUUAGAUACAAAGAUACCAAACUCACUUUUCCUCAUUUUUUUGUAGAAACGAGAAUGCAUUUUGUCACACAAUGAGUAGACAGCAGUCUGUGCUUUUUAAAGGGAAAGUGGGCUCAGGAAGAAAAAAGUUCCAGUUACCCCACCACAAAUGCAUUAAGCCUAAAAUAAGUUGUUCUAAAAAUAUAUGUACCAAAGCUGUAAGUGGGAACUAUUCAUAGUGGAUGGCCACAUUCUUGACCCCUGUCUGUGCUGGUUAUAAGAUAACUGCAGGAAUUCCCAAGUUGCAAUUAGAAGUGCUACCCCAUUCUAGAAACACUUGAAAAUGAAGUUAUGGUUACUGUAGAGAGGUGCUUCCGAUUUUUUUAUUUAUUCACUAAUUCAGAAAAAAAUAAAUUAAAUGUAAUUAUCA
RNAcentral lists this long non-coding RNA (1364 nucleotides) under Anas platyrhynchos platyrhynchos (common mallard). Its description in RNAcentral is "lncRNA (ENSAPLG00000024540.1)". The record is from RNAcentral. Lineage: Eukaryota; Metazoa; Chordata; Aves; Anseriformes; Anatidae.